UGCCAGCAGCCGCGGUAAUACGGAGGGUGCGAGCGUUAAUCGGAAUUACUGGGCGUAAAGCGCACGCAGGCGGUUAUUUAAGCUAGAAGUGAAAGCCCCGGGCUCAACCUGGGAAGGCCUUUUAGAACUGGAUGACUAGAGUCUUGGAGAGGGGAGUGGAAUUCCACGUGUAGCGGUGAAAUGCGUAGAUAUGUGGAGGAACAUCAGUGGCGAAGGCGACUCCCUGGCCAAAGACUGACGCUCAUGUGCGAAAGUGUGGGUAGCGAACAGGAUUAGAAACCCCCGUAGUCC
This 291-nucleotide ribosomal RNA is filed under the name uncultured bacterium. Its description in RNAcentral is "partial 16S ribosomal RNA". It matches the Rfam family "Bacterial small subunit ribosomal RNA", at positions 506 to 796 of the family's 1533-position model. The record is from RNAcentral.